This 1228-nucleotide ribosomal RNA is filed under the name Nudobius lentus. RNAcentral describes it as "16S ribosomal RNA". The stretch from base 1018 to 1176 matches the Rfam family "Archaeal large subunit ribosomal RNA", at positions 2542 to 2701 of the family's 2987-position model. The record is from RNAcentral. Lineage: Eukaryota; Metazoa; Arthropoda; Insecta; Coleoptera; Staphylinidae.
AAAAAUUAUUAUAAAUUAAUAAAAAAAAUAAUUUUUUUUUUGUAUAUUUUAGAUAAAUUUAUUAAAAUUAUAAAUUAAUAGUAUUGUGAAAGAAAUUUUUUAAAUAAUUUAAAGAAUAAUUAAUUUUUAGUACCUUGUGUAUCAGGGUUUAUUAAUUAAAAUUUAAGAAUUUAAAGAUCUCGAUUUUAAAAGAGUUAAAAUUAAAUAAAUUUUAUUGUGAAAUAAAUAUUUAAAAUUUAAUUUUAGUAAUGAAACGUUAUUCGUUUUUAAAUAUAUCUAGUUUUUAAAGAAAUAAAUUUAAUUUAGGAAUUUUAAAUUUAAUAAUUUAAAUUAAAAAAUUAUUAAUUUAAAAUUUUAAUAUUUUUAGGGAUAAGCUUAAAAAUAAAAUAUUAAAAAUAAUUUAAAAUAUAAAAAUUAAUAGGAUUAGAAAUUUCUAUUAUUUAGUUUGUUACAAUUAAUUUUUAUAAAAAUAAAAUUUUAAAAAAUUUUAAUUAAUUUAUUUAAAUAAUUUAAUUAAUGUAAAUUUAAAUGAAAUAAUGAUAAAAUUAGUAUAAUAAAUGUAAAAUUUUAAUUUUAAUUUAUUUAAAAUUAAGGAAUUCGGCAAAUAUAAUUUUCGCCUGUUUAUUAAAAACAUGUCUUUUUGAUAAUAAUGAAAAGUCUAGCCUGCCCCCUGAGUAUUUAAAUGGCCGCAGUAUUUUGACUGUGCAAAGGUAGCAUAAUAAUUAGUUUUUUAAUUGGAAGCUGGAAUGAAUGGUUGAACGAGAAAUUAUCUGUCUCAAUUUUAAUAAUUAUAAUUUUAUUUUUAAGUAAAAAAGCUUAAAUAAAAUUUAAAGACGAGAAGACCCUAUAGAGUUUUAUAUUUAUUUAAAUUAAAAUUUUUUAGUAUUUAUUGAUUUUAAUUUAAAAAAUUAUUUUGUUGGGGUGAUAGAAAAAUUUAAUUAACUUUUUUAAAAUUAAAACAUUAAUAUAUGAAAUAUUGAUCCAUUUUUUAUGAUUAAAAGAUUAAAUUACCUUAGGGAUAACAGCGUAAUUUCUUUAAAGAGUUCAAAUCGAAAAAGAAGAUUGCGACCUCGAUGUUGGAUUAAAAUUUAUUUAUGGUGUAGAAGCUAUAAAAUUAAGUCUGUUCGACUUUUAAAAUUUUACAUGAUCUGAGUUUAAACCGGUGUGAGCCAGGUUGGUUUCUAUCUUAAAUUAAAUAAAAUAUUUUAGUACGAAAGGACCAAAUAUU